Unclassified non-coding RNA from Ictidomys tridecemlineatus (thirteen-lined ground squirrel), 279 nucleotides. Its record names the gene 7SK. It matches the Rfam family "7SK RNA". Rfam says of the family: 7SK was discovered as an abundant small nuclear RNA in the mid-70s but a possible function has only recently been suggested. Two independent studies have found that 7SK RNA binds the CDK9/cyclin T complex (known as elongation factor P-TEFb). Lineage: Eukaryota; Metazoa; Chordata; Mammalia; Rodentia; Sciuridae. The record is from Ensembl.
GGACAUAAGGACCACCUGGCUGUGACGGGCCACCCCAUCGGUGGCCAGGGUUGAUUCAGCCGCCCUGACUGGCUGGGCAGGUGUCCCCCCCUCACUGUUCCGUGUACAUGUCUCCUAGAGUUGUGUGCCGGGCCAAAGAAGAUGCCCUUCCCCAGGAGAAAAGGACCUUCUUCAGCAAGGGGUGGCAGUAGCUGCUCCCUGCUAGGCCCUCCCACAGACUCCCGAGGUCCAGCUAGCAAGGCCACUUCUUCACACAGUUGUUCAAGGGGAGUGACCAUU